GAUUAUCGCGGGAGACAGUAAUGGAGAAUUUUCCGUAAUGGGUAAAAGCCUGACGGAGCAAUGUCGCGUGAAGAUAGAAGGCCUAUGGGUCAUGAACUUUUUUUUCCGGAGAAUAAGCAUUGGCUAACUUUGUGCCAGCAGCCGCGGUAAGACAGAGGAUGCAAGCGUUAUC
Molecule: non-coding RNA, 172 nt
Filed under: Vigna radiata var. radiata (mung bean)
Lineage: Eukaryota; Viridiplantae; Streptophyta; Magnoliopsida; Fabales; Fabaceae
Description: Bacterial small subunit ribosomal RNA
Rfam family: Bacterial small subunit ribosomal RNA
Source: Rfam by way of RNAcentral